ACGGGGCGCAGCAGGCGCGAAACCUCCGCAAUGCACGCAAGUGCGACGGGGGAACCCCAAGUGCCACUCUUAACGGGGUGGCUUUUCAGAAGUGUAAAAAGCUUCUGGAAUAAGGGCUGGGCAAGACCGGUGCCAGCCGCCGCGGUAACACCGGNAGCUCAAGUG
RNAcentral lists this ribosomal RNA (165 nucleotides) under uncultured archaeon. RNAcentral's name for it is "partial 16S ribosomal RNA". It matches the Rfam family "Archaeal small subunit ribosomal RNA", at positions 325 to 490 of the family's 1478-position model. The record is from RNAcentral.